Molecule: unclassified non-coding RNA, 350 nt
Filed under: Basidiomycota sp.
Lineage: Eukaryota; Fungi; Basidiomycota
Description: partial contains small subunit ribosomal RNA, internal transcribed spacer 1, and 5.8S ribosomal RNA
Rfam family: Eukaryotic small subunit ribosomal RNA (bases 1-47)
Source: RNAcentral
AAAGUCGUAACAAGGUUUCCGUAGGUGAACCUGCGGAAGGAUCAUUAUUGAAUACUCUUGAUGGGUUGUAGCUGGCUCUUCGGGGCAUGUGCACGCCUGUCUUGACUUUAUUCGUCCACCUGUGCACCUUUUGUAGUCUUGGAGGUUGAGAGCAGUCGACUAUCGGAUACUUUCCGGAUGUGACGAAUUGCUGAGUGCGAAAGCAUACAGCUCUUCUCAAAUGACUUGCAACACUUCUCUUCAAGUACUAUGUAUUCAUAUACCACAUAGUAUGUUGUAGAAUGUGAUCAAUGGGCUUAUAUGCCUAUAAUAAUCAUAUACAACUUUCAGCAACGGAUCUCUUGGCUCUC